RNAcentral lists this ribosomal RNA (994 nucleotides) under uncultured Corynebacterium sp. RNAcentral's name for it is "bacterial SSU rRNA". It matches the Rfam family "Bacterial small subunit ribosomal RNA", at positions 505 to 1498 of the family's 1533-position model. The record is from RNAcentral. Lineage: Bacteria; Bacillati; Actinomycetota; Actinomycetes; Mycobacteriales; Corynebacteriaceae.
GUGCCAGCAGCCGCGGUAAUACGUAGGGUGCGAGCGUUGUCCGGAAUUACUGGGCGUAAAGGGCUCGUAGGUGGUUUGUCGCGUCGUCUGUGAAAUUCCGGGGCUUAACUCCGGGCGUGCAGGCGAUACGGGCAUAACUUGAGUACUGUAGGGGUAACUGGAAUUCCUGGUGUAGCGGUGAAAUGCGCAGAUAUCAGGAGGAACACCGAUGGCGAAGGCAGGUUACUGGGCAGUUACUGACGCUGAGGAGCGAAAGCAUGGGUAGCGAACAGGAUUAGAUACCCUGGUAGUCCAUGCCGUAAACGGUGGGCGCUAGGUGUGAGGGUCUUUUCACGACUUUCGUGCCGUAGCUAACGCAUUAAGCGCCCCGCCUGGGGAGUACGGCCGCAAGGCUAAAACUCAAAGGAAUUGACGGGGGCCCGCACAAGCGGCGGAGCAUGUGGAUUAAUUCGAUGCAACGCGAAGAACCUUACCUGGGCUUGACAUACACCGGAUUGGGCUAGAGAUAGUCUUUCCCUUUGUGGCUGGUGUACAGGUGGUGCAUGGUUGUCGUCAGCUCGUGUCGUGAGAUGUUGGGUUAAGUCCCGCAACGAGCGCAACCCUUGUCUUAUGUUGCCAGCAUUUGGUUGGGGACUCAUGAGAGACUGCCGGGGUCAACUCGGAGGAAGGUGGGGAUGACGUCAAAUCAUCAUGCCCCUUAUGUCCAGGGCUUCACACAUGCUACAAUGGUCGGUACAACGCGCAGCGACACUGUGAGGUGGAGCGAAUCGCUGAAAGCCGGCCUUAGUUCGGAUUGGGGUCUGCAACUCGACCCCAUGAAGUCGGAGUCGCUAGUAAUCGCAGAUCAGCAAUGCUGCGGUGAAUACGUUCCCGGGCCUUGUACACACCGCCCGUCACGUCAUGAAAGUUGGUAACACCCGAAGCCGGUGGCCCAAACUUGUUAGGGAGCCGUCGAAGGUGGGAUCGGCGAUUGGGACGAAGUCGUAACAAGGUA